UUGAACGCUGGCGGAAUGCUUUACACAUGCAAGUCGAGCGGCAGCGCGGGGGCAACCCUGGCGGCGAGCGGCGAACGGGUGAGUAACACAUCGGAACGUACCCAGUUGUGGGGGAUAGCCCGGCGAAAGCCGGAUUAAUACCGCAUACGACCUGAGGGUGAAAGGGGGGGAUCGCAAGACCUCUCGCAGUUGGAGCGGCCGAUGGCGGAUUAGCUAGUUGGUGGGGUAAAGGCCUACCAAGGCGACGAUCCGUAGCUGGUCUGAGAGGAGGAUCCGCCACACUGGGACUGAGACACGGCCCAGACGCCUAAGGGAGGCAGCAGUGGGGAAUUUUGGACAAUGGGGGCAACCCUGAUCCAGCCAUGCCGCGUGAGUGAAGAAGGCCUUCGGGUUGUAAAGCGCUGUCAGACGGAAAGAAAACGCAUCGGUGAAUACCCGGUGGGGAUGACGGUACCGUAAGAAGAAGCACCGGCCAACUACGU
This 482-nucleotide ribosomal RNA is filed under the name uncultured bacterium. RNAcentral's name for it is "bacterial SSU rRNA". It matches the Rfam family "Bacterial small subunit ribosomal RNA", at positions 29 to 506 of the family's 1533-position model. The record is from RNAcentral.